UACGUAGGGUGCGAGCGUUGCCCGGAUUUAUUGGGCGUAAAGGGCGCGUAGGCGGCUCUGCACGUCCGUUGUGAAAUCGCCCGGCUCAACUGGGCGGGGUCAGCGGAUACGGCGGAGCUUGAGCAAGCUAGGGGGCAAUGGAAUUCCCGGUGUAGUGGUGGAAUGCGUAGAUAUCAAGAGGAACACCAGUGGCGAAGGCGAGUCCCUGGACAACUUCUGACGCUGAGGCACGAAAGCUAGGGGAGCAAACAGG
RNAcentral lists this ribosomal RNA (253 nucleotides) under uncultured bacterium. RNAcentral's name for it is "partial 16S ribosomal RNA". It matches the Rfam family "Bacterial small subunit ribosomal RNA", at positions 524 to 776 of the family's 1533-position model. The record is from RNAcentral.